CACUAAGGUGAGCGAGUGAACUAUUGUUAAGGAACUCUGCAAAAUGAGUCCGUAACUUCGGAAGAAGGACUGCUGGUUUUAUACCAGCCGCAGCAAAUAGGCCCAAACAACUGUUUAUCAAAAACACAGGUUUCUGCAAAAUCGUAAGAUGAAGUAUAGGGGCUGACGCCUGCCCAGUGCUGGAAGGUUAAAAGGAGGACUUAGCUUCGGCGAAGGUCUUAAUUGAAGCCCCAGUGAACGGCGGCCGUAACUAUAACGGUCCUAAGGUAGCGAAAUUCCUUGUCGGGUAAGUUCCGACCCGCAUGAAAGGCGUAAUGAUUUGGGCGCUGUCUCAACAAUAGACUCGGUGAAAUUUAAAUUCCAGUGAAGAUGCUGGGUACCCGCGACAGGACGGAAAGACCCCGUGGAGCUUUACUGUAGCUUGAUAUUGAAUGUUUGUGCUGCAUGUGCAGGAUAGGUAGGAGACUUUGAAGUCGGAACGCUAGUUUCGAUUGAGUCACCCUUGAGAUACUACCUCUGUUGUAUGAACGUUCUAACUCUGAUCAGUUAUCCUGAUCGAAGACAGUGUCUGGCAGGCAGUUUGACUGGGGCGGUCGCCUCCUAAAAGAUAACGGAGGCGCUCAAAGGUUUGCUCAGAAUGGUUGGAAAUCAUUCGUAGCGUGUAAAGGCAUAAGCAAGCUUGACUGUGAGACUGACAAGUCGAGCAGGUACGAAAGUAGGACUUAGUGAUCCGGUGGUUCCGUAUGGAAGGGCCAUCGCUCAACGGACAAAAGCUACCCCGGGGAUAACAGGCUCAUCUCCCCCAAGAGUCCACAUCGACGGGGAGGUUUGGCACCUCGAUGUCGGCUCAUCGCAUCCUGGGGCUGUAGU
This 870-nucleotide ribosomal RNA is filed under the name Oenococcus oeni. RNAcentral's name for it is "bacterial LSU rRNA". It matches the Rfam family "Bacterial large subunit ribosomal RNA", at positions 1679 to 2559 of the family's 2925-position model. The record is from RNAcentral. Lineage: Bacteria; Bacillati; Bacillota; Bacilli; Lactobacillales; Lactobacillaceae.